CAGUAGCCGCGGGAAUACGAGGGGGGCAAGCGUUGUUCGGAAUUAUUGGGCGUAAAGGGCGCGUAGGCGGUUUGGCAAGUUUGGUGUGAAAUCUUCGGGCUCAACUCGAAGUCUGCAUCGAAAACUGCCGGGCUUGAGUAUGGGAGAGGUGAGUGGAAUUUCCGGUGUAGCGGUGAAAUGCGUAGAUAUCGGAAGGAACACCUGUGGCGAAAGCGGCUCACUGGACCAUUGCUGACGCUGAGGCGCGAAAGCUAGGGGAGCAAACAGGAUUAGAGACCCCCGUAGUCCCUGUCUCUUAUAC
This 301-nucleotide ribosomal RNA is filed under the name uncultured bacterium. RNAcentral's name for it is "partial 16S ribosomal RNA". It matches the Rfam family "Bacterial small subunit ribosomal RNA", at positions 509 to 807 of the family's 1533-position model. The record is from RNAcentral.